Long non-coding RNA from Micropterus salmoides (largemouth bass), 333 nucleotides. RefSeq lists it as uncharacterized. The record is from RefSeq and is a predicted model, not a curated record. Lineage: Eukaryota; Metazoa; Chordata; Actinopteri; Centrarchiformes; Centrarchidae. The transcript is spliced from 3 exons.
GAACACGGUACGCAUUCAGCCUUUCCUCCGUAACUUAAGAAAUAGCAAAAAUCGACACUUUGUAUUUUCAUUCCUGCGUGUUUUCAAUUAACAGUUUUUGACUUGAUCGACAAUGGGCUUCAUUCAACCGAAUAUCAACUUGAAGAUUUGUACUCAGGCGAGGAAAUAGGUUCUACAAGGGAGAAUGGCAUUCCAUCAGAGCAGGUUGUAGAUCUCACAGGAGAAGUCGAUGGUGCGAGCGAUUGUGAACGGUACUUUAUGCAGGGUCUCUCCCCUACCAUUUACGAGGAGAACGGUCCGGUUCCGGAAUCGGAUCAGCCCUCGGCUUCGGUA